RNAcentral lists this ribosomal RNA (194 nucleotides) under Choristhemis flavoterminata. Its description in RNAcentral is "partial 28S ribosomal RNA". Lineage: Eukaryota; Metazoa; Arthropoda; Insecta; Odonata; Synthemistidae. The record is from RNAcentral.
GGUAACGUACGGUGUUGGGUCGGANACGCUCCGCUAAACCCAUAAGCGAAAUGAAAGUGAAGGCCACCUUUGCGGGGCCGAGGGAGGACGGAGACGGAGACGCCUCCUGCACUCCCGGGGCGUCUGAUUCCUCACUGCGAGGGAAGGCGCACCCAGAGCGCACACGUUGGGACCCGAAAGUGGUGAACUAUAAA